UACGUAGGGGGCUAGCGUUGUCCGGAAUCAUUGGGCGUAAAGAGCGUGUAGGCGGUCCGGUAAGUCCGUUGUGAAAGUCGGGGGCUCAACCCUCGAAUGCCGGUGGAUACUGUCGGGCUAGAGUGCGGAAGAGGCGAGUGGAAUUCCUGGUGUAGCGGUGAAAUGCGCAGAUAUCAGGAGGAACACCUAUUGCGAAGGCAGCUCGCUGGGACGUAACUGACGCUGAGACGCGAAAGCGUGGGGAGCAAACAGG
Molecule: ribosomal RNA, 253 nt
Filed under: uncultured bacterium
Lineage: Bacteria
Description: partial 16S ribosomal RNA
Rfam family: Bacterial small subunit ribosomal RNA
Source: RNAcentral